UGGAUUUUCAAAAUUCGCAAUACAAUUGACAAUAAAAGUCGAGGUAUAACUGUUGAUCUUCUGUAUGAACUUCACACAGAAUACACCUAUGAUUGCCACUUACAUGUUGAUAUCAGCAGGUGAUAAUUAUGUGUUCCGUCACCCUUGCAGAUUUGUAUGGCCAAAGGCCAGUAGCUAGUGGUUCAGCACCCUGGUUUUAUUAAUGCCAGUGGCAUAUUGAUUAAAUUAUCAACUUGAUGUUUGUUGUGUUGUGACUUGUGUUCUGUUCUUGUUAUAUCUUUAGCAAAUGUCACAUUGACUGCUACAUACAAUAUCAAUUGAAAUAUAUUUCUUUAUAUUUGCUUUAUUAUAUAAAAUUUGUUUCAU
Non-coding RNA from Paramuricea clavata, 366 nucleotides. The record is from the annotation of a GenBank genome assembly. Lineage: Eukaryota; Metazoa; Cnidaria; Anthozoa; Malacalcyonacea; Plexauridae.